This 493-nucleotide ribosomal RNA is filed under the name uncultured bacterium. Its description in RNAcentral is "partial 16S ribosomal RNA". It matches the Rfam family "Bacterial small subunit ribosomal RNA", at positions 28 to 507 of the family's 1533-position model. The record is from RNAcentral.
GACGAACGCUGGCGGCGUGCUUAACACAUGCAAGUCGAACGGUGAAGGGACCGGUUUUUGCUGGUUCUGGAUGAGUGGCGAACGGGUGAGUAACACGUGAGUAACCUGCCCCCUUCUUCUGGAUAACCGCAUGAAAGUGUGGCUAAUACGGGAUAUUCUGCGCCUGCUGCAUGGGGGGGGGGGGAAGGAUAUGGUUUCGGGGGGGGUUGGGCUGGCGGCCUAUCAGCUUGUUGGUGGGGUGAUGGCCUACCAAGGCGGUGACGGGUAGCCGGCCUGAGAGGGUGGACGGUCACACUGGGACUGAGACACGGCCCAGACUCCUACGGGAGGCAGCAGUGGGGAAUAUUGCACAAUGGGCGCAAGCCUGAUGCAGCGACGCCGCGUGAGGGAUCGAGGCCUUCGGGUUGUAAACCUCUUUCGCCAGUGAAGCAGGCCUGUCCCUUUUGUGGGUGGGUUGACGGUAGCUGGAUAAGAAGCGCCGGCUAACUACGUG